Molecule: unclassified non-coding RNA, 322 nt
Filed under: uncultured fungus
Lineage: Eukaryota; Fungi
Description: sequence contains ITS1
Rfam family: 5.8S ribosomal RNA (bases 1-105)
Source: RNAcentral
GAAAUGCGAAAAGCAAUGCGAAUUGCAGAAUUCCGCGAGUCAUCAGAUCUUCGAACGCAUCUGGCGCCUACCGGAUAUCCGGUAAGCAUGUUUGUUUCAGUGUGUUGUUACGACUCACAAACCUCAGUGUGAUUGACUAUGAGCACUAUAUUCUAACGAAUAUGUCUCAUUGUCUCUCAUGAAAGUAGCGCUGUGCGACACCGCACUGAUGCAGUAGUCAGUCCUCGCGAUUGAUACUCAUCGGCUUGCGAACGUCAAUAACGCAGCUUAACUAAUCAUCACCAAUGCAUCUGAGACAAGCAAGAUAACCCGCUGAACUUAA